Brassica rapa (field mustard) is the source of this 8836-nucleotide long non-coding RNA. RefSeq lists it as uncharacterized. The record is from RefSeq and is a predicted model, not a curated record. Lineage: Eukaryota; Viridiplantae; Streptophyta; Magnoliopsida; Brassicales; Brassicaceae.
UAAUCUUCUUUUCUCUGCCGUAGCUCUUGACUUCAUUCAUGGCGAUUUAGGGUUCUUGGAAAAUCAUUGUUCUUCAUCGAUGUUUCGUCAGAUGGUUAGUCUUUAAUCUCGUUUUCGUCAUCCUCCUCUUCGUUCUCACAUACGAAAAAACGAAAUCGUACGAGUUUCGACGGUUCAUUACGAAAUAAAAGUGUUCUUAGAUUAAUAAGUUCUUGAGUUAAGACACUUAAUAGUUUUAAGUGUGUUUGAAUCUUGAAUUAUAAUCAUCGCAGGAGCCGAGAGUUCCUCUGGCAAGGACACACUGUUCACGCCACAAAAGAAGACGCAGAUAAAGAGGUAACACUAGUUUUUUUUUCUUCGUGAUCUAAACCUUAAACAUUUAUAUACUUGAAAAACAUGUUAAUUUCUGUGUUUAAUUUUUUUAGGUUCUUGAGGCUUUGGACCAUUACCGUCACAUUUAUGAAGAGUAUUUUGCAGUCCCAGUUGUAAAAGGUAUGAAGAGUGAGAAGAAGUUUGCAGGUGCACGUUAUACCACAAGCGUUGAGGUAAAAAUUACAUUUAAAAACUUGGACUGAUGUAUUUAUAAGUUGUCAUGUAGUCUCUUUAUUUACAAAUCAGUAAAUGCGAUUAUGUUUUAGGCUUUCAUACCAGAAACUGGUCGUGGUAUACAAGGUGCAAAGAUGUUUGACAUCACAUUCACAAAUAAAGAAGGAAAAAGUAAAAGGUGUGGCGAAUUCUUGGGCUUAUAGUGCCAUAACGAUUGGAGUGAUGAUAUUGACUUAUGGAGAUGACAAAGGAUUGGUGAAUCCCCCUAACGUUGCACCAAUCCAAGUCAGACUCAGUGAGGAAGGAAAUGGUCUUGAUGUCUGUGAUAGCUAACCAAGAUUGAGCUUAACCGAAGUCUGUGAUAGCUUUGAUCCAAGGGUCUUGAUGUGAUCAAGCAAGCUCAAUCUGGAACACAAAGACAGCUAUGAAAUUUAAAUCCGGCGUUUUGCAACAGCUUGAUUACACUCUUGUUCAGUCCCAAGCUUUUGUUUUUACUCCUACCAUGUAGUGUUAGCUCAUUGCAGUUCACUUUUUUUUUUCCAUAGCAUAUUGUUUAAGUUGUUUGCAUGAAGUUGAUCUUGAAUGUUUGUCUUGCUUUUCUUGUUGGCAUGAAGUUGUUUGACGUCUUCACACAAUACAUAAAUUUCAUAAAUAAUACGAUACAUGGCAUACAUUAUAUUCCAAGAAACAGAAACAAACAAGAAAAUGGUAAAACUGGACAAUAAAGGUAAGCAAGUGGCAACAUUUAGUAGUCAUCACUUACAUAAACUCUCACCGUUAAUUUUGUAGAGUAAAGAGGCAUACAAUCUCGGUAUUUAUGGGUAAGAGAAUGAUAUAAUAAACAAGACAAAAUAACAUAGAUUAGAACCAUGUUGUACUGAUAGAGAAAAGAGGUGAUUUUAUGGAUGAAGAAGAGAGAAACACAAACAAAGAGAAAAAGAUCGUGGGAGGAGGAGGAGGAGGAGAAGAACGUGGAUAAAAUAUUUUCAAAUAUAUUUUGAGAGAUUUAUGUUAGAUUUAGUUUAGAAUUAGAAAACUUCUUUAACUGAAUAUGAAAGUUUCCAUAUUUUCACGGUUUGCCUAGAAUAUGUACACUACCUAAGCAGAACACCGUAUAGUAGGUGAAAAAUGUAUUCUUCAUGUAGGCGUCAUAUAAGGUAAAAGGCAGAACAAGUUAUGUCUCGUAAUAUAACUGACAUAUAUCAUUGAGUUGUGGCUAUAUAUCGUUAUCGAGCUGUAGGUAUACCGAAUACAUCUUUCUUGAUUAUAACGUAACUGAUUCUAUCUUUGCUAGAAUAUACAAGAAAAGUUAGUUUACGGUAUAUACCCUUGAUAUAUCUAUGUUUAAAACUUAGAAUCAGACAUAUAAACUAGGUAGAUUACCAGAAUGAGUAUUCUAAUUGUAGCUAGAAGAUAAAAUAAAAUAUGAUUUCAAUUUUUUUUUUUUUAAAGUUUAAACAUAUAUAUUGUCAUACUUAUGUUUCCAACAGUUUUCAUAUUUUUUUACAUUUUUAAAAUUCAAUUUACUAUUUUUCCCAUUAAAAAAGGGUAAAACAUGUCCAGAAUUACCAAAAGUAUGAGAAGUCUUAUUGUGACAAACAAAAGUUCAAAGUGUCCCAUUUUUCCAAUUUUCCCUUUUAUAUUAGUGACCUCGAUAUACUUUAGACCAAAUGAAACCCGCAAAUAUAAUCACAAAAAAUGUUAAUUAAAUCAUCAAUUUUUAAAUUUGAUUAAAAAACAUGAACUUUUUUUUAUAAAUCAUAAAUAAAAAUUAACUUAAAUUUUAUAUAUAAAUAUUAAUUAAUAAUAGUUAAAUUUAAUUGUUAGCUCCUUUGCUAGCUUCUACAUCCUGUGUUAGUAUUAGUAUACCAUAUCCUACCAUUAAGGCACAACUAUAUAACAAAUAUAUCAAAGGGGCAUCAAGUUGAAAAGGUCAGGGAUGCUCCUUGUACAUGCAAGAGUAAUCAAGCAACACAUGCUUACUUGCAAGUUCAGGUUUAAAACAAUAUAGUAAAGAAAAAGACCUAAAACAAUUCAUGAUCAUAUUAACUUCCAGGUUAAAAACGAUAGCUAAAGUAAAGGAACCUACCCACUAUCAACGGCAUAAAAGUAUUAAGCUGACAAAUUGAGAUUAUUCCACAACAUAUAUAAACUGGAAUUAUCAACGGCAAACAUAUGAGUUACAUACAGUAGCUAAGCAUUAAGCUACAAAACAAAGAGCAAGAAAGAACCAUCAGAGAGUCAUUGGCAUUGCAUCUUAACACACUCAAAAACAUCUUGAUGAUCAGACAGAACCAAAGGUAAGCCAACAACCAUCUUCAGAUAUUUCCAAGAAAUCUCCAGGUAAGAUUAUGGGAAAAUUCUAAGUAUUUUUGGAUACUUUGGGGGUUUUUGAGUAUUUUUGGGAUCUUUAGGUACAAUUUGAGGUAUUUUAGGUUUUUUUUGGGUCCCAAAUACCUUAACCGAUCCAAAUCCAUUACUUAUCCAAAAAUUAUAUGUAUUUUAGUUGUAGACAUGAACCGACCCAAACCUUAAUCAAAAAUAUUCAAGUAGCUAACUAGAGGUCUUUUUUGGGUCCCAAAUACCUUAACCGAUCCAAAUCCAUUACUUAUCCAAAAAUUAUAUGUAUUUUAGUUGUAGACAUGAACCGACCCAAACCUUAAUCACAAAUAUUCAAGUAGCUAACUAGGUCUAAAUGUUACCCGAUAGAAACCGACCAGGGGAGUCGAAUGUCUAGACCUACAUUUAAUCAAAAUUAAAUAUUUUUAACAAACACUAAGAAAAAUAUUCAUUCUCAUUGUUUUAGUUGAGUAUCUCAUCUAAAACUAAGAUGUGGUACUAUUUUCUAGUUCUCCUAACGAGUUUGAUAUAUGGUAUUGUUGAUUUUCUAUCACUUCAACAUAUGGAUAACAGUUAAUGUGUAUAGUAACAAAAAUGUAUAUCAGCAUUUUAUUCAUUAAAAUUUGAUUCAACUAAAACAAAGAGAAUGAAUAUUUUCUAGUUCUCCUAAAGAGUUUGAUAUGGUAUUGUUGAUUUUCUAUCACUUAAACAUAUGGAUAAAAGUUAAUGUGUAUAGUAACAAAAAUGUAUAUCAUCAUUUUAUUCAUUAAAAUUUGAUUUAAGUUUUUAUGCUGUGCUCAUCAUUAACGGUAUUCGUGCUGAAAUUUUGAGUUAUUAAAAGAAAAUCAAGAGAGUUGGUGAAACCUUCUAUUUCGCUCAGCAGCUCUCAGUACCCUUCUUAUAUAAAUAACAGAGUUACAGAGACGACGACUCCCUCUCUUCUGAAAUUCAAUUUGGGGAAACUCUCGAUUCAGAUUCAAUCGAGUGACAUAAGCACGAUGGAGGUGGUUGCGACGUGGUGGAGAGAUGAUAAGAACUUCAUCUCAGACAGAGAGGUCGUGGCUCCGCCGGUUCAGAUGCUUCUGAAGCAGGUAAUUUGUGGUUCAUGGUGUUGUUAUUAUGAUCGAAUUGUUUUGGUUCUGCCAUAGUCAUGCUCAGAAGCACGAUAAACUCGAUAACCUUGAUCAUCAUCACGCAUAUCACUUGGAAUCUGCAUCUUCGGCAUUAUUUAUGAAGAUAUAACUUAUUCAGGCUAUAUACUGUUACGGAGGAAGAAGGUUCUGGCUAGGUGUAGGCAUUUAGAGAGGAUUCCAUUAAGUGGAUGGUUUCCUUGUCUCUUACAUUUUUGUUGCUUUGAAUCGGUAUGGAGUAGUUUUAGGACUGAUUUUUACUUUCUGUUGUUGUUGAUGUUGAUUUGGAUCGGUAUAGAGUGAUUUUAGGACUGAUUUGGAAUCUGCAGCUUCUUCAGUAACCUUGAUCAUCAUCACACAUACUCACUUGGUGUCACUGCUAUAUACUGUUACAGAAGAAGGUUCUAGGUCAAGAACGCACCAAGGCAUGAUUGUAUUUUUUUGUGAACCGGUACCCGGUUUGAAACAUGCGUGUGCGGAAAUUGACUUCCAAUUUGGAUAAACCAAAAAGUUGGAUAUAUUGGUUUAUUAUUUUGUAACUUUAAUGCUAAUUUUGUCAAAUUUGUUUAUGGCGUUUCAUGUUGAAUAAUUUGAAAAACGUCUUAUUAUAACUAUGCAGAACCUUAUACUAAAUGAAUUAGAUACAAAAACCUUGUCCUGAAAGAAUUAAAUACGUUCAAAAUUCAAGUAUAUGUAAAAUAUAAAUGAAUCCGCCAAAGUAGAUCACAUAAGUUUACCCAUGCGAGUUUUCUGGCCGGUUUUGAUUAGUUCGUGUAGUUCAAAUGUCAAGAUUGUUUCUUGAAGAUAUUUUUGCUUGAGUUAGCUGCUACAUUUCACUGAUUAUGAUGAUGUUUACUUUAACGAUUCUGCAUAGUCGUGUCUGAAUUGCUUGCUAGCAGCUGCAUUUUGCAGCCUGAAAUUUUGUGAUCCUAAUUCUUGCUUUCUUUCGUCUAUUUGGAUUCAUUUUGGUUUAAUUUUCUACUUCUUGUGAUGGUUAAGUACGGCUGAAUUGGGCGGCCAAUUCGCUAAUAUUGAACCUUUUCUAUCAUCUUUCUUUCCUCAAGCAUGAAACGGAGUUGAGCGGUAGGCAUUCCUUUCCAUUACAGUGGGAAAGUGGAUGCGAGUCGGCUUUCACCCUUCCAUUGCACUUUCAUGAGUCAACUUUUUUGUUUUAUUGCUCCCGCUUCCUCACAUCUGCGCUCGUCAAGCCAACUUUGCUUUUUUUGGGAGGCGUUAAAAAAUUCUUUCACCAAAGGUGUGAAUUGGGGAGGAUUGGUCGCCGAAAUAUUAACUGGAGACUGAAUCUUAAUAUACCUCAGAAGAACUACACUUGCUUCUGGAUAGAUGUGUGGGACAGAGGGCUCGUGGUACCUUCUGCCCACCCUUCCUCCUCUGCUUUGAGAACUGUGUGAACGGAGAGUGGGCAGAAGGGAAGGAGGUCUAGAUCGCUUGCUAUAAGUAAGGAAACUCCUGAGUACGGAAUUGAGACCGAAGAAAGGAGAUUCCACUCAGUUCAUAUCUUUAAGUUCGAUCAUUGACAAGGUUCAAAGAAAGGGUGGGCCGUCGGUUUGAAUCCAAUAUUAUGCACUUUUUUUUUUCGAUUUAAGUUCUUUUCUUUCUAAGAGGUGGAAUAGAAUAACCCGGUUGAAGCCUUUUUUUCAUGCUUUUCCCAGGGGUCUGGAGAAAGCUGCAAUCAAUAGGAUUUUCCUAAUCCUCCCUUCCCGAAAGGAAGAACGUGAAAUUCUUUUUCCUUUCCGCCUCGAAGUGGGAGCAGGUUUGAAAAAGGAUCUUAGAGUGUCUAGGGUUAGGCCAGUAGGGUCUCUUAACGCCAACCCGAGCUGGUCUUGUAAAAGAUCCGCUACAGAGCGAAUACGUUUAUUUUUCAAAUAUCCCCCUUAUCUAUUUCUGGGUAAAUAACUUGGUGACUAACAACGGUGAUCUCGUAGUUCCUACGGGGUGGAGACGAUGGGGUCGGUCCAUGGAUCCUUCCUUUUGCCGCAUUUCGCUCAAAGGGUUGAAGGGAGAUAGUGCAUCAAGCGACAUGAAUUUUAAUGGAAUUUGAUGAUUUCAAUAGUUGAGAAGAUUUUACAAGUUUUAUCCAAUAUUCUUACAUAGAUUUUCAUUACUUGUGUAUAGAAUUCUAUUGAUUGUUAUUAACUUUUAAGGUAAGAAAUUAAUGGUAUAAUAGGAGAAAAGAAAAAAAAAUCAUUUCAGAUAUUAAAAAGACAAAAUGUCAUUGUACCUUUUAAUAUGUAGAUAUAUAAAUAAAAGUUAUUUUUUAUAAUUUUAAAAUAUAUGGUUUUAAAUUUGAACUUUUUAUAUAAAAGCUUUCGAUUUUUUUUUCAAAUUGUUUUUUUUAAUUCUUUUUGAAUUUCGAAAAUACUUUUUAAAACUAUUUUUUUUUACUUUUAUUAAAUUUUUAAUAUUUGUUUUCUACUUUUAUGUUAAAGUUGUGAUUUGUAUUAUUUUAUUGUUCAAUUUUGUGUGUUUUUGGAUGCGAGUGUAUUUUAUUGCAUAGAUUUCAAAAAUCUUAUGGGUAUAGAUGAUAUUCUCAAAGUUUAGUCUUAUGAGUAAAAACAAAGAAAAUUUACAUCCCAAUAACAAUAGAUUUUAAUAGAAUCUUAAAAUCAAUGAAAACUAAACUUUUUCAAUAAUAAAAGAUUUUGAGUGGAAUUUAAAAGUCAUCAUCCCAAUAACAAUAGAUUCUAAUUAAAUUUUAAAAAUUCAUAAACCAAUAACAAUGGAAUCUCAAAAUUUAAUAACUCUUCUUGAAUUCUUCUACCAAUAACCCCCCCUAAGAAUUGUUUUGGAUUAUAUUUUUUGUUUUAAAAAUUAGCGUAUAAAAUGAGAUUAAUAUUUCAUUCAUAAAUUUAUAUAUUUGUUAGAAUUUAUAGAUUUGAAUUUUAACUAUUUUAUUUGAUUAUUUAGACAUUUCUUAUGCUGAAUACAUAUCAUAUAAUAUAAAUUUACUUUUAUAUGUAACUUGAUAAAACUAAAAAUAAAUUUGGAGAUGAAAUUCAUUUUGAAUAAAGAUACACAAUACUUUUUGUAUAUGUUUAUAUAAAUUUUAUAUAUAUGGUAAUUAUUAAUUUAUGAUUUUAAUGAGACCAUAUAUUUAUUUAAGAGUUUUCUAAAUAUUAUUAUCUUAUUAUUUAGAUGUUUAAUUUUAUACCGGUCCAACUUAGGACCUAAAAAUAUAUUAAUUUAUAAAGUAUUAAUUUAUAUUGUAUUAAUUUAUAGAAUUUAUACCGUAUAUAAACAUGUAAAUAUUGCUUCUCAUUUGACCUUGCUGCACCCGGGAGAAAGGUAAUAGUUAUAGGUUUCUACUAUGGGGUCAUCCUCAGUAAUUCUCUUUCAAAUGAUCUCCAAGAGAAAGGAAAUUUGUAGGUUUGGUGUGAGCACUUAAUAGCGGAUCAAUAUCCUCUAUAUAUUAAUCCUGGAGCAUUACAACAUGUUUUGAUAGCCAUGUGUCAUCAUUAAGAUGAUUCUUAGAAUCAUUGGAAAAAUAAGUUGGUUCAUAUAAAUAUAUAUUAUGCUUCUGAAACUAACUAUCAAAUUGAUUAGUAGUGUACAAAAGAAUAUUCACAGUUUUUUUCUUAAAUAAAUGCUACGAAAUUACCUAAUAUGAUUAACAUAUAUAUGAUAAUUAAUGAUUAUGAAUAAUACAUAUUCGAUAAUAAUUUUCUUAUAUGUUAUAUUUUGAUUUUUUUAAACGACUAUAAAUUACUAAAAAUAGUAAAAGUCUCACAUUGAAAAUUUGUGAUCAAUGAUUUAACUCUUUUUUGUUCAAGAAAAGUACAAAUAAUCAUAAAUCGUAUGAAUAUGAAGUCUCAUAAUAGAUAUAUAUAUAUAUAUAUAUAUAUCAUUUAAAUAAAUUUAUAUACUAUAUAAAAAUCUAAAAAUAUGUUAAUUUCAAAAUUUUCUUUGAAAAAAUUAUUGAGAUCUAAAUAUUUUAAUUUUGACAUAUGUAUUAAUGAAUAUCAUACUAAUCUUUGUGAUUAACGGUUUAAAUUUUUGUUACAGAAAAUAUAUGAAUGUUAAUAAAAUCAUAUAAGUAGGAAGUGUCAAUAACAAAUAUUUAUAUUAAAAUAAUAUUAUAUAUAUCUAAGUCAAUAUCACUAAAGUUUAAUUAUUUACCAUAUAAAGUAAAUAAAGUGAUUGUUUUGAUUUAUUUACCAAAACCAUGAUUGUAAAUAAACAAAAGAUAUUGAUUUUGAUUUAUGUGCUUACUCAAAUGUAUAUACUUUCAUGUAUACACAUUAUUUUUUAAAUAGGUAGUUUCUAAUAUGUUAUUUGAUCCUGACAAUCUUAGAAAUACACUUAUUCAAAUCAAAGUGAUUUAUAAUAUUGGAACCACUAUAUAUAUAUAUAUUAUUUUAUUCAAAUUAAGUAUUUUAGUCUUGAUUUUUAUUCCUAAAAAUCUUUUAGUGAAAUAUCAUGACAAGAUUUCAAUCACCAUUUUUUGAGGUUGUUUGAAGAAUGGGAGAUUUGAUAAUUCGUCUAAUAUUUAUUUCUCCCUAAUAUCAUAACUAGCUAUUAUAAUUGUAAGAAUAAGAUAUUUGAACUAUUUAUCAUAAAGUUUCUGGUUUAUCAUUUAAUAAAUCAAACAAUUCUUAGUUUAUACAUAGUUUACAUAUACUAGAAGACUUAUUCUUAGGUUCACUCCCCAGGAUGAACCUUUAGGUUCACUAACCAAUAGGAUUGUUUCAUUUUAUAUUCGAUAUCUUUUAAAAAAGGAAACAAAAUAUUGUCAAAUUAUAUUAUGUUUUUAAAAUUAAAAAGGUAAAAAAAAAAUAGUAGUAAUUAAAAAAAAAAUAUUU